This 233-nucleotide RNase MRP RNA is filed under the name Prorocentrum minimum. Its description in RNAcentral is "partial RNase MRP". It matches the Rfam family "RNase MRP". Rfam says of the family: RNase MRP is an enzymatically active ribonucleoprotein with two distinct roles in eukaryotes. In mitochondria it plays a direct role in the initiation of mitochondrial DNA replication. The record is from RNAcentral. Lineage: Eukaryota; Dinophyceae; Prorocentrales; Prorocentraceae.
AAGCACGGCUUCGCAGCGCACAGACGGGGAGCUCGCUCCUUCCUUGAAGCUGCGGGGAAAGUCCCCGUGCCCUUGGGCAGAGAGUGCCGGCGGGAGACCGCCAGGCCCCGGCCCUGCCGUUUGCGGCGAGGCCUCUUGGCGGAGCCAGAGCGGCGGGCUGGGGUCGCUCGCAGCAGCACAGCCAUGCCGUGAGCGCCCUGGAAGUGGGCGCCAACAGAACGGGGCUCACUCUC